GUGGAGGAGGACGCCGAAGGUGGGGCUAAUGACUGGGGUGAAGUCGUAACAAGGUAGCCGUACCGGAAGGUGCGGCUGGAUCACCUCCUAACAGGGAGACAACAAAAUGUUUAAUAUUAUUAUUUUGUCACCUUAGGUCGAUCGGUAUCUCACGUUCUUAAUUUGUUAAGAAUUUCAUUUCCUAAGUUUUUCUAGGUCACACCCAUUAUUUUUCCUGGGCCAUUAGCUCAGGUGGUUAGAGCGCACCCCUGAUAAGGGUGAGGUCCCUGGUUCAAGUCCAGGAUGGCCCAUAUCUCUAUGUUGGGGGUAUAGCUCAGUUGGUAGAGCGCCUGCUUUGCAAGCAGGAUGUCAGCGGUUCGAGUCCGCUUACCUCCACUGAUUACCACCUCUUCCAUAGCCGGUAGAAAGGAAAUGUUUUGAGCUGUGAUCAUUAUUCUGAACGAAUCUAGCUUCCUAAUGAAAUCAUUAAGAUGCUGGACUCAUUGAAUUAAUUUCAUUGUUUUCAGAGAACCUUGACAACUGCAUAGAUUUUUUAAAGACAAUAAGCAUCUUUAAUGAUGCAGAUUUAUUAUUUGUGCGAAUGCAUUAAUAACAAUUCUAUUAAGCUGAUGCUUCAAUUUUUGAAGUUAUUGGUCAAGCUACAAAGGGCUCACGGAGGAUACCUAGGCACACAGAGGC
RNAcentral lists this unclassified non-coding RNA (678 nucleotides) under uncultured Prochlorococcus sp. Its description in RNAcentral is "partial may contain 16S ribosomal RNA, 16S-23S ribosomal RNA intergenic spacer, and 23S ribosomal RNA". The stretch from base 303 to 375 matches the Rfam family "tRNA". The record is from RNAcentral. Lineage: Bacteria; Bacillati; Cyanobacteriota; Cyanophyceae; Synechococcales; Prochlorococcaceae.